CGGGUGCGGAACACGUACGCAACCUUCCUACAGGCGGGGAAUAGCCCAGAGAAAUUUGGAUUAAUACCCCAUAAGAUUUUGAGAUGGCAUCAUCUUAUUAUUAAAGAUUUAUCACCUGAAGAUGGGCGUGCGGCUGAUUAGGUAGUUGGCGGGGUAACGGCCCACCAAGCCUACGAUCAGUAGCUGAUGUGAGAGCAUGAUCAGCCACACGGGCACUGAGACACGGGCCCGACUCCUACGGGAGGCAGCAGUAAGGAAUAUUGGUCAAUGGACGCAAGUCUGAACCAGCCAUGCCGCGUGGAGGAUGAAGGUCCUCUGGAUUGUAAACUUCUUUUAUCUGGGACGAAAAAAGGGUUUUCUAACUCGUCUGACGGUACCAGAUGAAUAAGCACCGGCUA
This 398-nucleotide ribosomal RNA is filed under the name uncultured bacterium. RNAcentral's name for it is "bacterial SSU rRNA". It matches the Rfam family "Bacterial small subunit ribosomal RNA", at positions 103 to 499 of the family's 1533-position model. The record is from RNAcentral.